CCUACAUGAUUUGUUCAAUCAUAAUUCUCAUCGAAACAAGUCUGCCAUUGCAACCGGCAUGGAAAAUAAAAUGCCAUACAUUAUUCCUUCUCUGCAACUUACAUUAGAAUUUAGCAUUUCACCAACUAAAGAAAGUAUUUGCUAAACCAUGGGCCUUCAAAAUAUGGUAAUCUUUCAGGGAAAAAUGGUUUUCGCAUUUCCCAAGGAUCUUUCAUAGUCUGUGAGAAAGAGUUCCAAAUUUUUCAAUAAAAAUUAACUGUCCAUGAUGAAGAGGGUUCAUAUAUAGAUAAGACUUCUCAGCUCAUCUUGUCUUCUCGUGCGAAAGCCCAGUAUUCUCUACUUGUAAGGGAAUCACAUCAUAAAUUGUUUCACAUUGAUUUAAGAUCAAUCAUCUCUGACCUCAAAAGACUUUUCUUUGUUCAUGCAGAACCCUUCGUUAAU
Molecule: unclassified non-coding RNA, 441 nt
Filed under: Hevea brasiliensis (rubber tree)
Lineage: Eukaryota; Viridiplantae; Streptophyta; Magnoliopsida; Malpighiales; Euphorbiaceae
Source: RNAcentral